Molecule: ribosomal RNA, 301 nt
Filed under: uncultured bacterium
Lineage: Bacteria
Description: partial 16S ribosomal RNA
Rfam family: Bacterial small subunit ribosomal RNA
Source: RNAcentral
CAGUAGCCGCGGGAAAACGGAGGGUGCAAGCGUUAAUCGGAAUUACUGGGCGUAAAGCGCACGCAGGCGGUCUGUCAAGUCGGAUGUGAAAUCCCCGGGCUCAACCUGGGAACUGCAUUCGAAACUGGCAGGCUAGAGUCUUGUAGAGGGGGGUAGAAUUCCAGGUGUAGCGGUGAAAUGCGUAGAGAUCUGGAGGAAUACCGGUGGCGAAGGCGGCCCCCUGGACAAAGACUGACGCUCAGGUGCGAAAGCGUGGGGAGCAAACAGGAUUAGAUACCCGCGUAGUCCCUGUCUCUUAUAC